This 484-nucleotide ribosomal RNA is filed under the name uncultured bacterium. Its description in RNAcentral is "partial 16S ribosomal RNA". It matches the Rfam family "Bacterial small subunit ribosomal RNA", at positions 30 to 507 of the family's 1533-position model. The record is from RNAcentral.
AUUGAACGCUGGCGGAAUGCUUUACACAUGCAAGUCGAACGGCAGCACGGGGGCAGCCCUGGUGGCGAGUGGCGAACGGGUGAGUAAUACAUCGGAACGUGCCCGGUCGUGGGGGAUAACGUAGCGAAAGUUACGCUAAUACCGCAUACGAUCUGAGGAUGAAAGCGGGGGACCUUCGGGCCUCGCGCGAUCGGAGCGGCCGAUGUCAGAUUAGGUAGUUGGUGGGGUAAAGGCCUACCAAGCCGACGAUCUGUAGCUGGUCUGAGAGGACGACCAGCCACACUGGGACUGAGACACGGCCCAGACUCCUACGGGAGGCAGCAGUGGGGAAUUUUGGACAAUGGGCGCAAACCUGAUCCAGCCAUUCCGCGUGCAGGACGAAGGCCUUCGGGUUGUAAACUGCUUUUGUGCGGAACGAAAAGGCUCUGGCUAAUACCUGGGGCUCAUGACGGUACCGUAAGAAUAAGCACCGGCUAACUACGUG